This is a long non-coding RNA of Ictalurus punctatus (channel catfish), 1022 nucleotides long. NCBI's taxonomy places the organism in Eukaryota, Metazoa, Chordata, Actinopteri, Siluriformes, Ictaluridae. The record is from Ensembl.
GUUCUAACCUUUAGUUUGGGUUAGUGAAGAGUAAUAAAAGUGUGAGUAUUGAUGGAAUUGAAUAUACACCACAAGACAGGAACACAAUUACACCGUAAGACACAACAACCAGAACAAAAGAAAAAGAGAACAUGAAACAAAAACCAAGUCCACAAGGAGGAAGAAGCAAGAGAUGAAAAACAAACAUGUUUCAUACAGGGAUUAAAUAAUAAUUUAUUUAUUUAAAAAGUAUCAUUAUGUGGAAAGUUAAAUUGCUUUGGUUGUGUAGGAGCUCGCUCGUUUUCGGCUUUCUGAAAAGUGUCUAAAAAUAUGUAAAAGCCACACCCCCAAAAUUUACCUGCGGUUAGGGUUAGGGUUUUCAGGAAGAGCGACGGGUUUAACCGCAGUUAAAGUUUCUGCCGUCCUCUCUGAGGGGUACACCUCUCUACCUGCGUGAAGUUCACCCCACCCAAUGCAAAACGUCGGCAAAAUAGACUCAAUCGUUUGUGCUGGUUUGUGCUGCUAAAAAUUCCGUUUGUCCUGCUUCGGUUUUUAAAAUAUUAAACAUUCAUUUAUAUGCGAUGACGUCACCAGCCCCCCCACAUGCUCCAAAUUUACCCCAAAUAGGCUCAAUCGUUUGUGCCGCUAAAAGCUUCGUUUUUGCGACUGUCUUCUCUUUUUUUAAUUGUGUGUUUGUGUGUGUAUAUGUGUGUAUAUAUAACAACGCCGUUGAAGUACAUGGGGGAAAAAUUCAAACGGCAAACCAAAUCACAUUAAAUAGUCUUAAUUGUUACCUAUGCACUGCGCGUUUUCAAAUUUUAAGGGACACAGCGGAUCACAGGAUGUGUGAAAUGUAACCCGAACUCCAAGUGCUGUGUUUAUACAUAACUAAGCCAUGUAUGUGGAAACUCAUGACUCAAUGAAUUAAGAAUUAAGCCGAUAUGAUUUUACUUGUGAAACUGAAUUACUGUGUACUAUUGAACAUCCAUUAACACAAAUAAUGGACCUUUUUAAAAACUUAAACUUAAAAACACUUAAUACUU